GAGAACUGACGACGAAACCUGCUUCUUGGUCAUCUCCAAGGCAGAGAUUUCCCGUGUUUGUAAUGGACUGUGCUGCUGCAGUGAGCUGACCUUCAUGGUGAUUAUACCCUGGGUGUGUUCGUCUGUGACAAGAAACUUGAACUUGAAGCUGAACUCCUCCACUGUCUAAACUGAGAGUGGAGUGUGGAAUGAGCUGCCAGACGAGUAAAUUCUGGUUAAUUGAGGCACAUCAAGAUCAGUACAUUUUGGCUCAAUUCAGUGGCUGCCCCAAUUAGCUGAAGUUUCAAGGAAACGGUUAAAAAGGGAGGUGAUUGGAAAACAGAACCAACAUGAAGUACUCAAACACGAGGAAUUCUGCAGAUGCUGGAAAUUCAAGCAACACACAUCAAAGUUGCUGUUGAACACAGCAGGCCAGGCAGCAUCUCUAGGAAGAGGUACAGUCGACGUUUCAGACGACCCGGCCUGGACCCAGCACGUAAUUGCAUUUGUGAAGAAAGCACGGCUGCACCUCUACCUCCUUAGGAGUCUGUGAAGAUCCGGCAAGACAUCAAAAACUUUGAUAAACUCUACAGAUGUGUAGUGGAGAGUGUAUGGAUUAGCUACAUCACAGGCUGGUCUGUGACCGAAGAUCGCAAAGACUUUGGAUCUUUGGGCCCACAGCGAAAGAUUUUCUGGCCUCCCUGAUGACACACAAGUCUCCUGCUGUGACACCAACCUUCGACCUGCCCACCUCCAGAGCCCUGAGAUCUUAGGCUUCUGAACACGAUCGAGACUCUCAGGCCAAACCCUUGGCAUGUCGAAUAGCAGCCAGUCAUGGAACCCCGAGAACAUGUCCCACUCCCACAAAGAACUAAAGUCUGCGUGUAACUCCAGCUCAGUGUCUUCAAAAGAACCCUGAAAGGGAUAAAUAAAGAUAUUAAAGGUGGAAAUGGAGCUGUUUCUAAAGAUGCAAACAAAGGAGCUGCCGUUGGGCACCA
This is a long non-coding RNA of Mobula hypostoma (lesser devil ray), 977 nucleotides long. RefSeq lists it as uncharacterized. NCBI's taxonomy places the organism in Eukaryota, Metazoa, Chordata, Chondrichthyes, Myliobatiformes, Myliobatidae. The record is from RefSeq and is a predicted model, not a curated record. The transcript has 6 exons.